CACGAAGCAAUUUGAGCUAAUUUAGGACAUUUAUUAGGAUAUAGUAUGUUGCAUAAUACUAAAGUGAUUAUAAAUUAGGGGUGACAUUCCUUUCAAAUUUUGCGAUAUCUUGAUGCAACCGACAAGUAUUUAGUACAGUUACAGUCAAUAAGUGCUUAGGUUUAUUGAAAAUAUGAACAAUUAUUAAGAAAGCUUGUAAGGUAUAAUAAUUAACUACUUUAUUUUUAUAUUAUUAUUAUAUAUAACUUAUAUACAAUAGGGUGCUACAAAUAAUUGUGUUAUAGUUACUUAAUGUUAUUAUUAGUAAUAAAUAGAUAUUUACAAUGAACUUGGCAAUUUAUCUUUCAACUGUUUAUCAAAAACAUAGUUAUCAGAAGUUAUUGAUAAUUUGUUCUGCUCAAUGAAUAAUUAAAUAGCCGCAGUACUCUGACUGUGCAAAGGUAGCAUAAUCAUUUGGCUUAUAAUUGAAGUCUUGUAUGAAUGAAAUGAUGGGGGACAACUGUAUCAUAAAUAUUGUAUAAAAUUACCUGAGAAGUGCAAAUGCUUCUAUUUAGAUAAUAGACGAGAAGACCCUUGAAAUUUUAAGAAGAGUGUUAAUAAGGAUUUUUGUUGGGGCAACAAUGUAACAAAAAACUUACAUUUUGAACAUGAAAUAAAAUGGAUUGAUUAAAUUACUCUAGGGAUAACAGCGUAAUAUUAAAAUGUUUGCGACCUCGAUGUUGGAUUAGGAAACAAAAGCCUAG
RNAcentral lists this ribosomal RNA (743 nucleotides) under Basedowena oligopleura. Its description in RNAcentral is "partial 16S ribosomal RNA". The record is from RNAcentral. Lineage: Eukaryota; Metazoa; Mollusca; Gastropoda; Stylommatophora; Camaenidae.